This 399-nucleotide ribosomal RNA is filed under the name uncultured bacterium. RNAcentral describes it as "partial 16S ribosomal RNA". It matches the Rfam family "Bacterial small subunit ribosomal RNA", at positions 359 to 776 of the family's 1533-position model. The record is from RNAcentral.
GAUAUUGCACAAUGGGGGAAACCCUGAUGCAGCAACGCCGCGUGAGGGAAGACGGUUUUCGGAUUGUAAACCUCUGUCUUCGGUGACGAUAAUGACGGUAGCCGAGGAGGAAGCUCCGGCUAACUACGUGCCAGCAGCCGCGGUAAUACGUAGGGAGCGAGCGUUGUCCGGAUUUACUGGGUGUAAAGGGUGCGUAGGCGGGAACACAAGUCAGGCGUGAAAUCCACCGGCUUAACUGGUGGGCUGCGCUUGAAACUGUGUUUCUUGAGUGGAGUAGAGGCAGGCGGAAUUCCCGGUGUAGCGGUGAAAUGCGUAGAGAUCGGGAGGAACACCAGUGGCGAAGGCGGCCUGCUGGGCUUUUACUGACGCUGAGGCACGAAAGCGUGGGUAGCAAACAGG